This 930-nucleotide ribosomal RNA is filed under the name Triticum aestivum (bread wheat). Its description in RNAcentral is "partial small subunit ribosomal RNA". Lineage: Eukaryota; Viridiplantae; Streptophyta; Magnoliopsida; Poales; Poaceae. The record is from RNAcentral.
AUGCUCGGCCUGCAGCGAGAUGGCCACCGACAGGCUGCCGUCGCGGCUGGCGCUGGGGAGCACGAAUGCGAGCCCCUCGUACGCGAUGCCGCCGGGGCCCAUGAAGACGGGCCGGCCCCAGCCGAAGUCGGCAUCGUGGAUGGGCAGGCGCACCCAGCUGGUGAGCCCGAGGUUGGGGCACCGGAACGUGUGCGCGCCGCGGACCAGCGCCGACAGGUCCGGCUGCAUCUCCAGGUAGUCCAGCGCCGAGCGGCAGUACUCGUUGUCCAUAACCUCCAGCGCCGCCUGGAUCGUGGUCGCGCCGUCCGCCAGCGAGCCGGUCACCUUGCCCGCCACCGCGAGCGGCGUGGCCGUGAAGAUGACGUUGCCGAAGUAGCCCUCCGGGAGCGGCGGCUGCAGCCGCUGCCGCCCGUCCGUGGCGCAGUACAGCUUGGUGGGCUGCUCUGGGGACAGGCCACGGGCCAGGGACGCGCACCGCCAGACGUGCGCCCCGAGCACCGCGUAGGUGCUGAACCGCGGCGCGCCCUCGCCAGUGGGGAGCUGGGCGCGGAGGCGGCCGAGGUCGGCGCGGGAAAGCUUGAAGAUGUCCACGGCCGUGGGCCGCGCUUCCGGCUUGGCGGUGAGGGCCUGCGGCUCCUCCGCGUCCAGCAUGGCGGGCGCUGGCUGGUACUCGAUGUGCGGAUGGGACGGCGUCGGCGGGUCGCGUGCGCGGAGGAGGUAGACGCUCGGCGUGUGGAACCGCGGCACGACCAGGUCCGGGUUGGCGUUCCACAGCCGGAGCCGCGGCGUCUCCUCCGCCGGCACCACGACCGUCGAUCCCCGCACCGUGAUCUUCAUCUCCGCGGAUGCAGAUCUGGCGGGCAGACUAGGCGGAAGAAAAGAAAGGUCGUCGCUAGGUACGUGGAACGCGCGUGGGAGCAGCGGCGAUAA